CCUACGGGGCGCACCAGUGGGGAAUUUUCCGCAAUGGGCGAAAGCCUGACGGAGCAAUGCCGCGUGGAGGUAGAAGGCCCACGGGUCGUGAACUUCUUUUCCCGGAGAAGAAGCAAUGACGGUAUCUGGGGAAUAAGCACCGGCUAACUUCGUGCCAGCAGCCGCGGUAAUACGAAGGGUGCAAGCGUUAAUCGGAAUUACUGGGCGUAAAGCGUGCGUAGGCGGUUUGUUAAGUCUGCUGUGAAAGCCCUGGGCUCAACCUGGGAAUGGCAGUGGAAACUGGCGAGCUAGAGUGUGAUAGAGGAUGGUGGAAUUCCCGGUGUAGCGGUGAAAUGCGUAGAGAUCGGGAGGAACAUCAGUGGCGAAGGCGGCCAUCUGGAUCGACACUGACGCUGAGGCACGAAAGCGUGGGGAGCAAACAGGAUUAGAUACCCGUGUAGUC
RNAcentral lists this ribosomal RNA (442 nucleotides) under uncultured bacterium. Its description in RNAcentral is "bacterial SSU rRNA". It matches the Rfam family "Bacterial small subunit ribosomal RNA", at positions 338 to 795 of the family's 1533-position model. The record is from RNAcentral.